This 124-nucleotide ribosomal RNA is filed under the name Clostridium botulinum. RNAcentral's name for it is "partial 23S ribosomal RNA". It matches the Rfam family "Bacterial large subunit ribosomal RNA", at positions 1 to 123 of the family's 2925-position model. Lineage: Bacteria; Bacillati; Bacillota; Clostridia; Eubacteriales; Clostridiaceae. The record is from RNAcentral.
AGGUCAAGCUACAAAGGGCGCAUGGUGAAUGCCUUGGCACUAGGAGCCGAAGAAGGACGCGAUAAGCUGCGAUAAGCCUUGGGUAGCCGCAAAUAGGCUGAGAUCCAGGGAUUUCCGAAUGAGG